This 264-nucleotide long non-coding RNA is filed under the name Coturnix japonica (Japanese quail). RNAcentral's name for it is "lncRNA (ENSCJPG00005002533.1)". The record is from RNAcentral. Lineage: Eukaryota; Metazoa; Chordata; Aves; Galliformes; Phasianidae.
GACAUUUUAUGAGAGUCACCUGUUGAGGCAGCUCAAACUUAAUUCAGGAAAACUAUUUCCUUUUGCUAUCAUCUUGACCAAGUCUGCCUUAGGAUACUUGUUACCACAGCCAUUUUGAGCAGAAAAGCAGCAGACAAAAAACAGUGGAGAAGCAUGAUUUACAAAGGAAAAAAAAUGCUCUUUGCAUAUUUAGGAAGAAGUGAUCCAGGUCCCUCAGCCUUUUCUCAUAAGGGAGAUCUAUUCAAGAUGAGUAUAGAGAAAUAA